CCGUUUUGCAUUUUAUGGCGUUCGGUCGUUCUUACAAUUUGCUGGGAUGGAAGAACAACUUUUAAUCACUUUGUGCUACGAGCAUCUUAAGCAUUUUAUAACAUUUUGAUUAUUUAAAUUGUAAAAUAUGGCAUAAAUUGUAAUGCGCACAUCACAUUUAAGAAAUGUCGAAGAAAGUGUUUUUUCUCUGUUGCAGCUGCCACCGAUGGGUGCAAACACGUGGCUAAAAAACCGGCAUUAAAAUGAGAUGUCAUCUGAGAAGCAGAGAACCUAAAAGUGGACCAGUGAAAAGUUUUCAUUCGAAACUAUGCAUGUUAUCAAAGUCUGUUCAGAUGAUGUUGAUGCGAUUCUUUUUAAAUGCUUCCGCAGUUCCAGACCAGUUGUGAAUUUCUGAAUGUUGUCAUUGCACUUCAGUGCUGGAACAUAAGGCAAAAAUAUUCUGGAAUAUAUCCUUAAGCUGGCAAUAUAUAAAUCUUCUGUUGGAAAAUGUAAUUUCAAAAUCUGCUGAUUGAUAAAUUUACAUCAAGAUAAUUGAUGCUGGAUUUAUCUUUCAUACAUGCUGAAUAAAGAAUGCCAAAGAUCAAUAAAUACUGGUUGCUGUCGAGAUGCCGCCAGAAGAUCCAAAUUUAUGGGAAUCUGAAAGGGCGUUAAAUUUUCUAAUUAUUUGCUGAGGACGGACUGGACAAGUAUAAAAUUUAAAAAGUUGUCACAAUCUGGUGAAUGACGUCCUUUAAUUUAAGUAAAACUUGUUAAAAUAUUCAGCACAAAUAAAUGAAAAAUAUAUCUGAAA
Drosophila innubila is the source of this 790-nucleotide long non-coding RNA. RefSeq lists it as uncharacterized. The record is from RefSeq and is a predicted model, not a curated record. Lineage: Eukaryota; Metazoa; Arthropoda; Insecta; Diptera; Drosophilidae. The transcript is spliced from 11 exons.